Molecule: non-coding RNA, 27 nt
Filed under: Homo sapiens (human)
Lineage: Eukaryota; Metazoa; Chordata; Mammalia; Primates; Hominidae
Source: RNAcentral
ACCUGGUGCUGAGGCGAGGGUUGAGGU